This 496-nucleotide ribosomal RNA is filed under the name uncultured bacterium. Its description in RNAcentral is "bacterial SSU rRNA". It matches the Rfam family "Bacterial small subunit ribosomal RNA", at positions 26 to 518 of the family's 1533-position model. The record is from RNAcentral.
AGGAUGAACGCUGGCGGCGUGCCUAACACAUGCAAGUCGAACGAAGCAUACGGACUGGAGAUUCGUCGAAGGACUGUAUGACUUAGUGGCGGACGGGUGAGUAAUGUAUGAGCAACCUGCCUUUCAGAGGGGGACAACAGUUGGAAACGACUGCUAAUACCGCGUAACGUAUCGUGGGGGCAUCCUCGUGAUACCAAAGGAGCAAUCCGCUGAAGGAUGGGCUCAUAUCUGAUUAGCUUGUUGGCGGGGUAACGGCCCACCAAGGCGACGAUCAGUAGCCGGACUGAGAGGUUGAACGGCCACAUUGGGACUGAGAUGCGGCCCAGACUCCUACGGGAGGCAGCAGUGGGGAAUAUUGGGCAAUGGGCGAAAGCCUCGACCCAGCAACGCCGCGUGAAGGAAGAAGGUCUUCGGAUUGUAAACUUCUUUUAUGAGGGACGAAGGACGUGACGGUACCUCAUGAAUAAGCCACGGCUAACUACGUGCCAGCCGCAGC